This 528-nucleotide ribosomal RNA is filed under the name uncultured Vibrionaceae bacterium. Its description in RNAcentral is "bacterial SSU rRNA". It matches the Rfam family "Bacterial small subunit ribosomal RNA", at positions 870 to 1398 of the family's 1533-position model. The record is from RNAcentral. Lineage: Bacteria; Pseudomonadati; Pseudomonadota; Gammaproteobacteria; Vibrionales; Vibrionaceae.
CGCCUGGGGAGUACGGUCGCAAGAUUAAAACUCAAAUGAAUUGACGGGGGCCCGCACAAGCGGUGGAGCAUGUGGUUUAAUUCGAUGCAACGCGAAGAACCUUACCUACUCUUGACAUCCAGAGAACCUUUUAGAGAUAGAAGGGUGCCUUCGGGAACUCUGAGACAGGUGCUGCAUGGCUGUCGUCAGCUCGUGUUGUGAAAUGUUGGGUUAAGUCCCGCAACGAGCGCAACCCUUAUCCUUGUUUGCCAGCACUUCGGGUGGGAACUCCAGGGAGACUGCCGGUGAUAAACCGGAGGAAGGUGGGGACGACGUCAAGUCAUCAUGGCCCUUACGAGUAGGGCUACACACGUGCUACAAUGGCAUAUACAGAGGGCUGCCAACUCGCGAGAGUGAGCGAAUCCCAUAAAGUAUGUCGUAGUCCGGAUUGGAGUCUGCAACUCGACUCCAUGAAGUCGGAAUCGCUAGUAAUCGUGGAUCAGAAUGCCACGGUGAAUACGUUCCCGGGCCUUGAACACACCGCCCGUC